ACAUAGCCUUUAGUUUUCCCAAUAUUAAAAAGUAACGCCUGCCCCAGUGAAACUUUUAAACGGCCGCGGGUAUCCCUAACCGUGCAAAAGGUAGGGGUAAUCACCUGUCUUCUAAAUAAAAGACCUGUAUGAACGGCUAAAUGAGGAUUUAACUGUCUCCUUUAACCAAUCAGUGAAACUGANUUUUCUAGUACAAAAGCUAGAAUGAUAUUAUAAGACGAGAAGACCCUGUGGAGCUUUAAAUCUAAACCAAAAUAUGCUCACCCCGCAUAUUUAUGAUACNUUCUAUNUUUAAGUUGGGGCGACUUCGGAGAAAAACACAACCUNCCGAGCACAAGAGGUUUANUUCCUAAAUACAGGCCUACUAGCCUAUACUAACAUUGACCCAGCACCGCUGAUCAACGAACCAAGUUACCCCAGGGAUAACAGCGCCAUCUUCUUCAAGAGUUCAUAUCGACNAANGAAGGUUUACGACCUCGAUGUUNGGAUCAGGACACCCCNAAUGGUGUAGCCGCUAUUAAAGGUUCGUUUGUUCAACGAUUAAUAGUCCUAC
This 553-nucleotide ribosomal RNA is filed under the name Anolis cyanostictus. RNAcentral describes it as "partial large subunit ribosomal RNA". It matches the Rfam family "Bacterial large subunit ribosomal RNA", at positions 1813 to 2599 of the family's 2925-position model. The record is from RNAcentral. Lineage: Eukaryota; Metazoa; Chordata; Lepidosauria; Squamata; Anolidae.